Molecule: ribosomal RNA, 895 nt
Filed under: uncultured bacterium
Lineage: Bacteria
Description: bacterial SSU rRNA
Rfam family: Bacterial small subunit ribosomal RNA
Source: RNAcentral
AGAGUUUGAUCAUGGCUCAGGACGAACGCUGGCGGCGUGCUUCAUACAUGCAAGUCGAACGAGAAGUAACCUUCGGGUUAUGGAAAGUGGCGGACGGGUGAGUAAUAUGUAGGAAAUCUGCCCUUAAGAGGGGGACAACAGAGGGAAACUUCUGCUAAUACCCCAUAUGAGCGUAGCUGAAAUGCUAUUCUUGAAAACUCCGGUGCUUAAGGAUGAGCCUGCAUCUGAUUAGCUAGUUGGGGGUGUAAUGGACCACCAAGGCGACGAUCAGUAGCUGGUUUGAGAGGAUGAUCAGCCACAAUGGGACUGAGACACGGCCCAUACUCCUACGGGAGGCAGCAGUAGGGAAUUUUGCGCAAUGGGCGAAAGCCUGACGCAGCAACGCCGCGUGAUUGAAGAAGCCCUUCGGGGUGUAAAGAUCUGUCAGUGGGGACGAAACUUGACGGUACCCACAGAGGAAGCAUCGGCUAACUCCGUGCCAGCAGCCGCGGUAAUACGGGGGAUGCUAGCGUUGUCCGGAAUCAUUGGGCGUAAAGAGUUCGUAGGUGGCCUGUUAAGUCUGGUGUUAAAUGCAGAGGCUCAACUUCUGUUGGGCACAGGAUACUGGCAAGCUUGAAUGCGGUAGAGGUAAMSGSAAUUCMUGGUGUAGCGGUGAAAUGCGUAGAUAUCAGGAGGAACAUCGGAGGCGAAAGCGCUUUACUGGGCCGUAAUKGACAGAGAGGAACGAAAGCCAGGGUAGCAAAUGGGAUUAGAUACCCCAGUAGUCCUGGCCGUAAACGAUGGAUACUAGGUGUAGCGGGUAUCGACCCCUGCUGUGCCGAAGCUAACGCGAUAAGUAUCCCGCCUGGGGAGUACGCACGCAAGUGUGAAACUCAAAGGAAUGACGGAAGGGCGA